GCGUCCUGGGUGUGCGGGGCCUGUGCAGAGAAACGCAUGGAGUAGAGGUGGUGGGAGUGUUAGCAGCGUGCUGUAUACUUACCCCAGACUUGUGAGCGUCAGCCCGGGAUGUUUCCAGCGCAGCUCUCCACUCUCCACCAGGUCGCGGAUCUGCUUGAACGCAUCCUCACCUGCACUCAAAGGUUUGGGAUUCACCUGGAUGUCAUAAAAUACUUCACCGAUUCUGAAAAACAAGACGUCUGCUCUUGCUAAGAUAAGUUGUUAGCCAGCCCCACAUUUGGACACCCAUCUCUCUCCGUAGAUGACCGCAGCAAUAAGGUUGUCAAAACACUCUUCAGCACUAUUUCACACACUUCGUGCCUGACUGCGACGUCACAAAAUGCGGCUGGAGUGGAGUUGAGUGCUGUUUCUGGACGAUGGACAAACAGAUACAAGCACUAGACAAUACCAGAGUGCAGAGGCCCGAAUGCUGACAAGGGGGCCGAUGGACGGCUUUAAGUGGCAAUUUCCAUAUUUUUCUGCAUGGUUUCCUCUCUGGCUGGGUUACCAUGGUGUUUCUGUCAGUGCCAAUGAUGAAAUCUGCCAAAGACCUCUUGCUAACGCACCGGAGAGGUAAUUUGGGGGACAGCUGCUCUGGGUGAGGGAGGCUUGGCUUCAUCAAUGUGGCUUUUAUACAAAAAAGCAUUUCUCUCCUGGUCCCGAGGCAAAAAACCGCUGCGCAAAUGGAUGCAUGUUGUGCAAAGUGUGAUAUUACGUGACUUGCGGGUGGAGUGUUUUUGAAACAUGCAUGUAAUAUAGAUGCUACAUUUAGUUCAUUUUGGUGCGCGUUUCUUUGGAAGUUUGGGUUUCCUUCCAAAAUACACAUGCAUCUUUGGGUUAAAAAAAGAGCUUGUGGAAUGUUUGAUGGCAUGCAUCAUUGACAAUGACAAAAUGUGAAAAUUGUUUGGAGGAGCCGUGUUAAAUAUUCAUGAGAUGGCUUUUCAAGGUGGGCAAAGACAAGGGAAUCCAUCAUUCGCUUUGAAAAUGCAGUGAUGCUAUUAGGAGAUAAAUAUUUAUUACCGGUUCAUGUACGCUGCAGCUUGAGAAAACAGCAGAUUCGGAUGCAACAUCACCGCUGACCGCCAGUAGGUAACUAUUGGAGAAUCUGUGACACCUUCAGUGUCAUUAAACCAGGUGUCGGCUGUAUCCGUACAAGCGGGGUCAAAGAAAAUACCUGAUGUACUUCACUUGAAGGCUCGAUCACUUCCUCUUUUCUAUCUCUUCACUUUCGACUCGUCAGAGAAGUCUUAUUGUGUUCUCCACCGCUCUUGGCUUUCUAUCUUGACCGCUCUCUUUCUGGGCUUCAUUACACAGGCUGUCCAAGUCUGAAAUUGAGGUUACUUUGGACAAGGGCACAAUCAUUCUUUCGAAGCACGCUGAACUUGCGGCAGCCCCGAUCUUCUUCGUUUGUGUGUUUGGCAGGUUUUGCACUUGAUAAAAGACCUGCAGACGUCUUCAGAGUUGGAAUGGAGCACCUAACGCCAAGAGUCCCAGAGCAAGAGGGGUGCCUGCGACCGCAGAGAGGCUGUCAGCUGCAGAAAUGAGAAAUCUUGCACUCCUGGAGAGACCUCUUAGUUGACAGGUGUGUGUGUGUUUAUGUGUGGGAAAGAGCUGGGAGAAUCCUGUUGUGAUCGAUUGACGCCGUUGACAGAUGUACGCCAGCGAGGAGAAUGCUAAACUGAGGCUGGCAUUACUAAAUUAACACUUCCCAAAUUGAUCUGCAGGGGCAGCUUUAAGACACCGAUCUCAGGCCUCCGCAAACAGUGUCAUCUGCCACCAUCUUUCCCAUGUAACCUCUGGGAAUAAUGCGCCAGAAUCGAUGGGGCGGAUUCCGGCAUCACAGCCCACCCUCCUCUCUGGUUGUAUUAGACGAGGGCAGGAACGUGGGAGGAGGAAGAGAGGGAGAAAAGCACGACUGAGAAGGCCAUUAUGGAACAAAGAAUGUAUCCUCAUGAGCAGGCAGCGGGGUCGGAGACGGCGCAAAUGAGAGAGCCGACAUGGCCAUUCCUGGGGCCUCAUUACCUUAAUGGAGAACCAUCGGUUCUGCUAGGGUUUCUCGAAAAUCUCCCCUGACACGAUUGCUUUCCUCUCUCCGCACAGCCUUAACGGUGUCAAAUGAAGAGGGAGAGAAAGAAAGAAAGAGACAGAAGCAAGAGCUAGCCGAGCGGUUUGGUGAAUUGCAAGGGAAGAUUUGUGCGUUCGGUACAGUAAUAAGGUCUUGAUUGGGACUGGAAUCCGCCGUCGUACUUUAUAAAGUCGCCUGUGGUUGACACUGCGGCCUUAGACGAUGGGAAAUCGUGUAAGCACUGGUUGGGAUUUCUCAGCAAAGGCAGAGAACAAACAUUAGGAUAGAUUUAAAGCACUAUGAUGGGCUAAAUUGCUUUAUGGUUUAAAGGGUUAGUUCAACCAGAAAUCAAAGUUUUUUCAUCAUUUACUCGCCCUAUCCUUCAUUCCAUACCCAAAUGAUUUAGAUGUAGAACUAAAUGAGAUAUUUAGCAGAAUGUUGUGGGUCCUCUUUUCCAAGUGAAAGGGGACAGAUACUGUCAAGUUCCAAAUUUGAAUAAGAUAACUUUGUGUAUUGCGGUUGGUUUUCUGUGAUGUUUCCUGCAUUGCAAUUUGGCAUGCAAUA
This is a long non-coding RNA of Onychostoma macrolepis, 2668 nucleotides long. RefSeq lists it as uncharacterized. NCBI's taxonomy places the organism in Eukaryota, Metazoa, Chordata, Actinopteri, Cypriniformes, Cyprinidae. The transcript is spliced from 3 exons. The record is from RefSeq and is a predicted model, not a curated record.